GUGGGGAAUAUUGCACAAUGGGGGAAACCCUGAUGCAGCAACGCCGCGUGAGUGAUGAAGGUUUUCGGAUCGUAAAGCUCUGUCUUUGGGGAAGAUAAUGACGGUACCCAAGGAGGAAGCCACGGCUAACUACGUGCCAG
RNAcentral lists this ribosomal RNA (140 nucleotides) under uncultured bacterium. RNAcentral describes it as "partial 16S rRNA". It matches the Rfam family "Bacterial small subunit ribosomal RNA", at positions 354 to 511 of the family's 1533-position model. The record is from RNAcentral.